UACAGAGGGGGCAAGCGUUGUUCGGAAUUACUGGGCGUAAAGGGCGCGUAGGCGGCCUUCUAAGUCGAACGUGAAAUCCCCGGGCUCAACCCGGGAACUGCGUCCGAGACUGAAAGGCUUGAAUCCGGGAGAGGGAUGUGGAAUUCCAGGUGUAGCGGUGAAAUGCGUAGAUAUCUGGAGGAACAUCGGUGGCGAAGGCGGCAUCCUGGACCGGUAUUGACGCUGAUGCGCGAAAGCCAGGGGAGCGAACGGG
RNAcentral lists this ribosomal RNA (253 nucleotides) under uncultured bacterium. RNAcentral describes it as "partial 16S ribosomal RNA". It matches the Rfam family "Bacterial small subunit ribosomal RNA", at positions 524 to 776 of the family's 1533-position model. The record is from RNAcentral.